Molecule: long non-coding RNA, 310 nt
Organism: Pseudophryne corroboree (corroboree frog)
Lineage: Eukaryota; Metazoa; Chordata; Amphibia; Anura; Myobatrachidae
Exons: 3
Source: RefSeq, a predicted model, not a curated record
ACAAGGCAGCAGGAGCAGAGAGCAGCCAUUGCUGUGUCUGGCAGCAGAGGUGUGAAGAAGACAUCUGGUGAGCGUGAGACACCCAGCAGCCAUCCUCGUGUGACAGGAGGACUGAGCAGGUCCCAGAGCCCCAUCACGGUGCCUCCACCUCACUCACUGGUACAUGAGAGACACAGUGACCAGAAGAUCCAGGAACUCACCAACAAGAUCAUUCAGCUGCCGACUGGAGAGGAGGGUGAGUGUAUAGAGGAACACAGGGGUCUGUACAAGGACGUGAUGAUGGAGAAUCACCGACCCCUCUUAUCACUGG